This 1278-nucleotide ribosomal RNA is filed under the name Eniochobothrium sp. n. 3 AW-2016. RNAcentral's name for it is "eukaryotic LSU rRNA". It matches the Rfam family "Eukaryotic large subunit ribosomal RNA", at positions 72 to 784 of the family's 3401-position model. The record is from RNAcentral. Lineage: Eukaryota; Metazoa; Platyhelminthes; Cestoda.
GGAUUCCCCUAGUAACGGCGAGUGAAGAGGGAAUAGCCCAGCACCGAAGCCUGCGGCAGUUUUGCUGUUAGGCAAUGUGGUGUUUGGGUCGGCUCGUGGGAUUGCCACUCCAUUCGAAGUCCAGCAUUGAGUAUGGUUCCCUGGAAUUGGCCCAGAGAGGGUGAAAGGCCCGUACGAAUGGAGGUUCAGACAAGUGAGGCAGUUCACCAGGCCGGCCUUCGAGUCGGGUUGUUUGAGAAUGCAGCCCAAAGUGGGUGGUAAACUCCAUCCAAGGCUAAAUACAAGCACGAAUCCGAUAGCGAACAAGUACCGUGAGGGAAAGUUGAAAAGUACUUUGAAAAGAGAGUAAACAGUACGUGAAACCGCAUAGAGGUAAACGGGUGGCGUCAAGCUGUUAGCCCGAAGGAUUCAGUCGGCAAGUGUGUAGUGUAUGCGCCUGGCGCAUCUCUCAGUCAGAGUAAGCCCUAGCAGUCCACUGGAAGACGGUGGGCCUGGCCGUGGCAACGCGGUUAGGAUGUGUGUACCGGGUGGUAGCCGGAGCAUGCUGCUGGUCUAUGGACUGGACUUGUCGGUGCACUUCCUUCGUGGUGAACACCACGACCGAUGGAAUUGCCGGUCUGCUUUAGCCAAGUUGUUUGCGACUAGCUNUCGGGUUGGCCGCUUGCAAUCACAGGCAAUGCCGGUUACCGGCGUAGGCACGCCUCGGUGGGUCUACGUGUUAUCGUUAACCGCUUGUCAACGAGUCGGUGUUGGGUGGUUGCAUCUGCCCAGUUGCUGGCUUGGUGGGCUAUUGUGGUAUGAAUAACUGUGCAAGGCAUCGGAGUUUUCGGUCUCUAAUGCAAGCUGCGUCCAGGUGCAACUGGUCUCAAUGCUGCUGCGUGUCGGCCUGCCUGUCCUUGGGUCUGAUUGUCGUGUCGCCUGCACAAAGUGGGCCCGGCAGUGGUCUGAGGCGGGAUGGAGUUGUAUGCGUAGUGGCGUGCGUAGUUUGUGGUGGGCCUGAUAGUCUGUGGUGUAGUGGUAGACGAGCUACCCGACCCGUCUUGAAACACGGACCAAGGAGUUUAACAUGUAUGCAAGUCAUGGGGUGACAUUGUACGAAACCCAAAGGCGCAGUGAAAGUGAAGCCGCGCAAGCGGUGUGGUGAGAUCCUGUCGUUACUCGCACAUGCCAGUACUAGGCAUAGAGCGGCAGGCGCAUCACCGGCCCGUCCCAUGAUGUGGUCAGCGGAUGUUGGCAGUGGUUGUCUUUCGGGGCGGCUAUUGUCAUGCCGUGCGUCAU